Megalops cyprinoides (Indo-Pacific tarpon) is the source of this 199-nucleotide long non-coding RNA. RefSeq lists it as uncharacterized. The record is from RefSeq and is a predicted model, not a curated record. NCBI's taxonomy places the organism in Eukaryota, Metazoa, Chordata, Actinopteri, Elopiformes, Megalopidae. The transcript has 3 exons.
CUCCCGUGGAUUCUGACACUGGCUCUGUGUGAAGGGACCUGAUCUCUCACGGCAACGCAUCCCUGCUGCUACAGAACACCAGCAUUCAGGACCAGGGCAGAUACAAGUGUUACACCAGCACCACACUGGGCAACCAGGAGUCCUUUGUGAGCCUGAGAGUGGAGGCUCCCAUCAAAUCAGUGAGCAUGGAGAGGACCAG